ACUCGAGUGGCGAACGGGUGAGUAACACGUGGGUGAUCUGCCCUGCACUUCGGGAUAAGCCUGGGAAACUGGGUCUAAUACCGGAUAGGACGAUUGGUUUGGAUGCCAUUGUGGAAAGUUUUUCGGUGUGGGAUGAGCUCGCGGCCUAUCAGCUUGUUGGUGGGGUAAUGGCCUACCAAGGCGUCGACGGGUAGCCGGCCUGAGAGGGUGUACGGCCACAUUGGGACUGAGAUACGGCCCAG
Molecule: ribosomal RNA, 242 nt
Filed under: uncultured Actinomycetales bacterium
Lineage: Bacteria; Bacillati; Actinomycetota; Actinomycetes; Actinomycetales
Description: partial 16S ribosomal RNA
Rfam family: Bacterial small subunit ribosomal RNA
Source: RNAcentral